RNAcentral lists this long non-coding RNA (216 nucleotides) under Brassica rapa (field mustard). RNAcentral's name for it is "long non-coding RNA (BRAP_LNC001318)". Lineage: Eukaryota; Viridiplantae; Streptophyta; Magnoliopsida; Brassicales; Brassicaceae. The record is from RNAcentral.
UUGAUUUUAUGUCAAAAGAGAGUAACUCUUCACUUCUGCGAUGUAUGGUUGUGAUAGGUAAAUUGGAUUUGAACCUUUGAUGUAUUUAACACAAUUCUUAACUUUUUUAAUUUAAUUGUUAUUCAAUCAGGUGUUAUUAAUUCUAGUCUCAUAUAAACAUUCAAAUGCUAAAGAUGAUGAUUAUUCAUCUCAUAUGGAUACUUGUCCUCAUCUCCA